This 465-nucleotide ribosomal RNA is filed under the name uncultured bacterium. Its description in RNAcentral is "partial 16S ribosomal RNA". It matches the Rfam family "Bacterial small subunit ribosomal RNA", at positions 338 to 795 of the family's 1533-position model. The record is from RNAcentral.
CCUACGGGAGGCAGCAGUAGGGAAUUUUCGUCAAUGGGCGCAAGCCUGAACGAGCAAUGCCGCGUGAGUGAAGAAGGCCUUCGGGUCGUAAAGCUCUGUUGCGGGGGAAAAAAGGCAGCAACAGGAAAUGGGUGCUGACUGAUGGUGCCCCGCCAGAAAGUCACGGCUAACUACGUGCCAGCAGCCGCGGUAAUACGUAGGUGGCGAGCGUUAUCCGGAAGGAUUGGGCGUAAAGGGUGCGCAGGCGGUCCUGCAAGUCUGGAGUGAAACGCAUGAGCUCAACUCAUGCAUGGCUUUGGAAACUGGAGGACUGGAGAGCAGGAGAGGGCGGUGGAACUCCAUGUGUAGCGGUAAAAUGCGUAGAUAUAUGGAAGAACACCAGUGGCGAAGGCGGCCGCCUGGCCUGUUGCUGACGCUGAGGCACGAAAGCGUGGGGAGCAAAUAGGAUUAGAUACCCUUGUAGUC